GACGUAGGUGGCGAGCGUUAUCCGGAAUCAUUGGGCGUAAAGGGUGCGUAGAUGGCAUGAUAAGUUAUUAGUGGGAAAUCGAGGCUCAACCUCGUGGAAGCUGGUAAUACUGUUUUGCUUGAGUGCAGGAGAGGUUAACGGAACUCCAUGUGGAGCGGUAAAAUGCAUAGAUAUAUGGAAGAACAUCAAUAACGGCGAAGGCAGUUAACUAUUCUGCUACUGACAUUGAGGCACGAAAGCGUGGGGAGCAAAACGG
RNAcentral lists this ribosomal RNA (256 nucleotides) under uncultured bacterium. Its description in RNAcentral is "partial 16S ribosomal RNA". It matches the Rfam family "Bacterial small subunit ribosomal RNA", at positions 524 to 776 of the family's 1533-position model. The record is from RNAcentral.